GGUGGGGUACCGAAGUGGCCAACCGGGACAGACUGUAAAUCUGUUGUCACACGACUUCGUAGGUUCGAAUCCUACCCCCACCA
RNAcentral lists this transfer RNA (83 nucleotides) under Bacteroidota bacterium. RNAcentral's name for it is "Bacteroidetes bacterium (sediment metagenome) tRNA-Tyr". It matches the Rfam family "tRNA". From Rfam's summary of the family: Transfer RNA (tRNA) molecules are approximately 80 nucleotides in length. Their secondary structure includes four short double-helical elements and three loops (D, anti-codon, and T loops). Further hydrogen bonds mediate the characteristic L-shaped molecular structure. tRNAs have two regions of fundamental functional importance: the anti-codon, which is responsible for specific mRNA codon recognition, and the 3' end, to which the tRNAs corresponding amino acid is attached (by aminoacyl-tRNA synthetases). tRNAs cope with the degeneracy of the genetic code in two manners: having more than one tRNA (with a specific anti-codon) for a particular amino acid; and 'wobble' base-pairing, i.e. permitting non-standard base-pairing at the 3rd anti-codon position. Lineage: Bacteria; Pseudomonadati; Bacteroidota. RNAcentral also lists the same sequence under 2 other names. The record is from RNAcentral.